RNAcentral lists this ribosomal RNA (497 nucleotides) under uncultured bacterium. Its description in RNAcentral is "partial 16S ribosomal RNA". It matches the Rfam family "Bacterial small subunit ribosomal RNA", at positions 28 to 507 of the family's 1533-position model. The record is from RNAcentral.
GAUGAACGCUGGCGGCGUGCCUAAUACAUGCAAGUCGAGCGAACAGGUGAGGAUCUUGCGCCGCGGACGUUAGCCGCGGACGUGUGAGUAACACGUGUAUAACCUACCUAUAAUACGGGUAUAACUACGGGAAACCGGCUCUAAUACCAUAUAAGCUAUUGAACCGCAUUGUGGAAUGGUAAAUUUCGGCGGUGCGGGCACUUAUAGCUGGAUCACCGCCGGAUUAGCUAGUUGGUAAGGUAACGGGUUACCAAGGGAACGAGGCGUUGACGAGGUGAGAGGGUGAUAGGCCACCCUGGAACUGGGACAGGGUCAAGAGGCCUACGGGAGGGCGCAGUAUGCAAUCUUACGCAAUGGGGGGAAGCAUGACGGAACAACGCCGAGCGAGUGAUGACGGUCUUCGGAUCGUAAAAACCUGUUAUUAGGGAAGAACAAAUGUGUAAGGAAAUAUGGAGGUCUUGACGGUAAUUAAUAAGAAAGCACCGGCUAACUACGUG